AUUCAGGUGACGAGUUCGAAAUAGGACGAAACGCUCGUUCUAGAU
RNAcentral lists this non-coding RNA (45 nucleotides) under Schistosoma margrebowiei. The record is from RNAcentral. Lineage: Eukaryota; Metazoa; Platyhelminthes; Trematoda; Strigeidida; Schistosomatidae.